AGCGGCGAACGGGUGAAUAACACGUAAAGAACCUGCCUCAUAGACUGGGACAACUAUUGGAAACGAUAGCUAGUACCGGAUAACAGCAUUAACUGCAUGGUUGAUGUUUAAAAGUUGGUUUUGCUAACACUAUGAGAUGGCUUUGCGGUGCAUUAGCUAGUUGGUGGGGUAAAGGCCUACCAAGGCGACGAUGCAUAGCCGACCUGAGAGGGUGAUCGGCCACACUGGGACUGAGACACGGCCCAGACUCCUACGGGAGGCGGCAGUAGGGAAUCUUCCGCAAUGGGCGAAAGCCUGACGGAGCAACGCCGCGUGAGUGAAGAAGGAUUUCGGUUCGUAAAGCUCUGUUGUUAGGGAAGAAUGAUUGUGUAGUAACUAUACACAGUAGAGACGGUACCUAACCAGAAAGCCACGGCUAACUACGUGCCAGCAGCCGCGGUAAUACGUAGGUGGCAAGCGUUGUCCGGAAUUAUUGGGCGUAAAGCGCGCGCAGGUGGUUUAAUAAGUCUGAUGUGAAAGCCCACGGCUCAACCGUGGAGGGUCAUUGGAAACUGUUAAA
Molecule: ribosomal RNA, 559 nt
Filed under: uncultured bacterium
Lineage: Bacteria
Description: bacterial SSU rRNA
Rfam family: Bacterial small subunit ribosomal RNA
Source: RNAcentral